CACCUCGGAAGAGAGAGAGGAAGAGGAGAUGGGUUGACAAAAAGGGCAGGUGUUGGUCUGACCCCUUUCCAGAGAAGCUGUCCUCCUAACACAAACAGUAUCUGCUGCCCCUUGGCCCUGCCUGGAAGUCCCCCAGCCCCUCACUCACACUCUCUGGCCCUCUUCUUACCAGGGCCCUUCCCAGUUACCCAGCCCAAGUUGGGAGGCAGAAGAUCCAUGUCACAGAUGGCCUGCGGCCUCAGGACCACCCAGCAGGCUGGAGCCCCUAUUUGGCAAGUGACCCCAGGAACUGGGACCUGCAGGUGUGGGCGACUCAGGCCACCUUCCCAGGCGUGCUGAGCAAGUGAGUGCAGCGAGAGAACAUUUGCUGCGUUUCCUAGGAGCUGGGCCCUUCAGACAUUCUCCAUAGCCCUCACUACAAAAGCCUGUCCCACAGGCGGUGGAGGCUCAAGGUGAUACCUAUUCAUGAUCCCUCACCUCUGCACAGUGCUUUACAGUUUAUAAUGUUUCUUCAUCCACAGAGUACCUGAUUUUCAUAACAACCCUGUGAGGCUCUCUGUCCCGCUGAUGGUGGACCACGGCCCCUGCACCAUUGGCCAUGGGGGAGCCAUCACCCCGCCAGGACCUCACCUCCUGCAGAAGGCACAGAAAGAGUUAGGAGCAUGAGCAGCUCAGGCGGGAAUCCGGGGACCUGUGCACCGGAGGCUGGAGUCGAGAGAGUGCAGGGUGGGAGGCAGCUGAGAGGUUAGGAGCAGCAGGGCCACCGGGUACAGCGGGAGGAGCCUGUUAGUGCCCUGAAGCACCUCCACCAGCAGCAGCAGCAGCACCGGCAGCCCAGCGGGCUCGGCCCACUACCUUCUCAUGCUCCUGCCGGCUCAGGCGCAGAGCCAGCUGCAGCUGCAGGUCCUCGUCCCUGUGGGAGGCUGGGGGGACAGGCUGCGGAGGAAGAGAGGGGUAAACUUGGCCCUGUACCCCCACCUUGGGACCAGAAGGGCAGUAUAGGCCUGCCUGGGUCAUGGGGAUGGAGACACUAAUGCCCACCCUCAGUGUGCAUGGGCCAUUUGCCCCUCGGUCAGCAGGGUGGGCGUGGCCUUCUCCCUGCCUGCAUCUGAAAUGCAGUUUAAAGAUCAGGAAGACUGAUCUUUCGCUUCUGAAUCCUCUGAGAGUUCCUCAGGCCCUCCUGUGUGAGACCCAGCUGCCUCCUGCCUGGUCUUCCUGGAUCCACAGAGGGCCAGCUGCAGCUGCAGUUCCUCUUCCCCUGACGUCUGAGGCCGGGCCUGCUCCAGGUCGGAGGUAUAGCGGGGUGACGAAGAGGAGGCUGCAAUGACCAUCAUGUCUCUGUGACCACACGAUUACCCAUCGGCUCCCACACCCCUCUGCCUGCCAGGAAGCUGAGGCUCAAAGAAGAGAACUGAGAGGAGGGGAACAACGGCCGUUGAGGCCCCCGUGGGCCAAGCAGUGUGCCAGGCACUCUGUAAGUUCCCCAUCCCAACCCAUCCCGGAUGGAAGGACGGCUCCAGUCCCUCCUUAGCAGAUGCACAGGCGGCACUUAGGGCCCCUGACCAGGUUCCUGAAGCAGGGCUUGAACCCAGGUGCCCUGACUCCAGCUCUUGGACUUCCAGAUGGACUCCGUCCUGCUUGGGGGCAAGGGAAGUGCAAGGAUAGGAGGUUCUAGUCCAACGAGGUCACAACCUCAAAGCCCUCAGCAAACUGUCAAGGGCUUUAUGGAAGGCGGGCCAUUCUGAGUAUUCCUCAGAUCCUGGAAGCCCCCAUGACUGGGGGCAGGAGAGUCAGGGACUGUCUAGCCGCUGCCCUCAGGUAGGGGGAUGAAGGGGAACACCAUGUGUCUGGGUGCAGGGUAGAGGACGUUCCUGAACCUGGUCUCAUUUCAUUCUCAGAUCAAACAAUGGAGGUAGGUGAGCUUAUCCCCACUGUACAGAUGAGGAAACUGAGGUUCAGAGAACUGGCUGCCCAGGUCACACAGCUUGGAGGAAGCAGAAUAUAGAAUGCUAUCUGACUCCAAACCCAUGCUUCCACUAUCGCGCCAUCCUAUCAGGCAGCUAACGAAUGAUAAUGAAUCUAUAACAACAUUAUUAUCUGAGCUAACUUGUUGAGCACCUCCUAUGUGCCGGGUGUUGUGCCUUGCGUGUUACAUUCCUUAUGUCUGAAUCUUCAUAACACCCCUCGGAGGUAGGUAUUAUGAACCAUGGCUUGGAUUGCAGAGCCAGGAAUGGAAGUCGGGCCAUCUCCCCAUCCCAGCCACACACCGGGGCUUACUCACAGUUGUAGGAGGACGGGGAGCCCCGGGAGCGGCUGUAGUCCUCGCCGUAGCGGCGGCUGAAGCCCAGCUGCCCACUGCCAAUGCCGAUGCCCUCCAGUGCCAUGCGCUCCUUGGUCUUGAGAGCAUGGGUUCGCUCCUGCCGCAGCCGCUCCUCAUCCUUGAGCAGGGCCAUCACCUGCUUGACCUUCUCGCGCACGUUGACGCCCUGGUCCUUGCCGUCGCGGUCGAUGUACUGGAAGUCCUUGAGUGUCUGGAUGGUGUAGAGGUUCUCGCGGCACUGGUGGGCCACCCGCUCGGAGCCCGUCUUGAGCAGGUAGUCCAGCAAUGUUAGAGCCUUGUACACGUGCCGCCAGUUCUUGCCGCUGUCAUUGAGCCGCCGCCACAGCAUGCCCAUGACCUCGGUGAAGGCCACUGUGUUGAAGGUCAGGUCAGCGAUCUCGGACAUGAGCGAACUAGGGGGGCCCCAGGGGUCAUUGCUGGUGGCCUCGCGCACCUUGAUUUCUGCCUCGGAGUAGUUGUGCACGAUGUUCUUCACCUGGCGCCGGAGUGCGGAGGUCGUCAUGGCUGGAGACUUGGAGGUGGGUGGCCCUCGCCCCCGCCGGAGGUGGAGGGCUGAGGGCCACUGUGGCGAGGUCACGGUCUCGAAGGAUGGGCUGCCGUGUUAGCAGAGCAGCUGCGUCCUUGGGUUCCACAUGGGGCUGAGGAAGAGAGGGCCAGGAACUCAGGGGCAGAGGCCUACCUCAUGGGUCACUCAGCCACUGACCAACUAAAUGAGGCCUGGCCAGAGUGUCCCUGCCUCCAGGGACAGCCUUCAGCGGCACAUGUUCUUAUUUCACUUACAAUUCAGCAGGCACUUGGAGCUUUGCAUGCUCAUCUAUCUAUCUUCACAGUCACACCACAAAGAUGCUAUUAUCAUUAUCUCCAUCCACAGAUGGGAAAGGUGGGGCUCAGAGUAUUAAAUGGGCCCGGUGCAGUGGCUCACGCCUAUAAUUCCAGGACUUCAGGAGGCCAAGGCAAGAGGAUCACUUGAGGCCAGUAGUUGGAGGCUGCAGUGAGCCAUGAUCAUGCCAUUGGGCAACAGAGCGAGACCCUGUAAUAUUAAGUGACUUGUCCGAGAUCACAGAGCUGCUACAUGGGGGAACCAAGAUGACCCCAGGAAGCCCCACCUAAGAGUGCAUGGCCUCAUGGGGGAACGCUAACAGGAUUCCAGGAAUGCCCGCUUGCCUUGCUUCUGCUCGGCCACUGCCUCUGUUUCUGCUGAGAUCUAGCUUAAGACCUAUCCUUCCUAGCUCCUCAGCUCACUUUUCUCAUAUUGUUAAUUUUUGUAGUUUGAUGCAUUCAACACCUAUUUCCUGGAGGCCUUUUCUGAGCCAGGCACCAUGCCAGGCACAGAACACACGCCUUGGUCCACCCACGUUCAGUUGAGAGGGUGCAGAAAAUCACAGUCCAGUGUGGGAGUGCAGAGCCACACAGGAAGACCCAAGCCAGGAAAAUCAGGGGAGACUUCCUAGAGGAGGUGGUGGCAGAGCUGAGAUCCAAGAUCCAAGGGAAGAGUGAGGAGGAGUGAACCAGCAAGUCAGGGGAGGGCAGCUCAGAAGAAAUGCUAUGACCUGGGCCAGAAGGCAAGAGAGCAAGUAUCGUUUGAGGAAGACUGCCUCUCAGAGUUCUGGCCACUGCCAACACUCCUGCGUGCCACCCCCAUGUACACAUGGAAGUGUUGAGGCCAGAGAGGGGAUGGGACCUGCCUGCAUCAUAUGGCAUGUAAGUGGCAGGGCCUGGACUACCAUCCAGGACUCCAGAAGACUAAUCCAAUCCUUAUUGUCAGUGUUACCUAGUUUGGUCAUUAUUUCAUCGGAUUGCUUUACUGUCUCAGUCCCACCUUCUCAGCUAGAAUGGAAGCUCCCUGAGAGUAGGAACAGUCUGGGUUCUCCAAAGCCCCAAAACGCUGGACACAUGGUGGACCUCUGGUACCCCAGCAGGGAGAAGAGCUGGGCCAGCCCAAUUCCCCCCAAUAGCAACAGGUCCAGGCUGUCUGCUGAAUACAACCGCAGGCCCAAGGUCCUCCCAAAGGCCCUUUCAGAAACCAAAAGAGGAAUUCCCUGACCACCACCAUUCCUCCCACGCUAGCACUGGUGUGUGCAUGCACACACACACUGUCUGGGCCUGCAGAGCCUCCACUUCACCCGUGAACUGUCCCCCACCCACCAAACACCUUUCGGCUCCACGCUCCAUCCCAGCCCGUGCCCCAACUGGUCCCCAGGCUGCCAGAAGCAGGAAUCUGAAGGAGACUGUCCUCCCGCACCCGAUUCCACGCUCCUUCCACCCCAGCCCCGCCAGUGCUGGGCUCAGUUCAAAGCAGCCCCACGCUUUGAAAACAUGCCUUGGCAGGUUUUGUCGGGGGCCCAGAGAAUAAGAUACCGUGGGAGUGGGCGAGGUGGAGAGUGCCUGGCCCACAGCACAGCCUA
Long non-coding RNA from Gorilla gorilla gorilla (western lowland gorilla), 4746 nucleotides. RefSeq lists it as uncharacterized. NCBI's taxonomy places the organism in Eukaryota, Metazoa, Chordata, Mammalia, Primates, Hominidae. The record is from RefSeq and is a predicted model, not a curated record. The transcript is spliced from 5 exons.